This 2487-nucleotide long non-coding RNA is filed under the name Olea europaea subsp. europaea. Lineage: Eukaryota; Viridiplantae; Streptophyta; Magnoliopsida; Lamiales; Oleaceae. The record is from RNAcentral.
UAAUAACCUUGUUCAAAGUAACAUAAAAAUGUAAAAAUACAAUAAAUUAAUUAAGACAUGUAGUGCCAAUCAAUGUAACCUUAAAUCCAAAAUAUUACACCAAAAUUCAAAUAAAAAUUAUUCACUAAGUAUGGUUACAUCUAAACUUAAAAGCGGUAGCAAAAAUAAUCUAUAUCUAUUAUUACGCAUCUAAAAAAACAUAACUCUUCAUCCUCAUGAAAUAGAUAUGCUGCUAGUUCUCACAAUGUAUAACUGAAUUGUUGCUCAACUUCCUUCAGCUUAUUUUGUAUCAUUUGUUCCAUCUUCACUCAAACUGCAUAUUCAACCUUUCAAGUAGCACAUUUUGCUUCUAACUCUUUCUCUAUACUGCAUACAUUGGAAGGUAGUUGACAUGGUAAAAAAUAUUGAGUCUUGUAUAGGUCUUGACUAUAUAUGAAAUCAUUUGGUAACAUGCAUUUUAAAGUUUGGAUGCACCAAUCCCCAUCUCAUCCUACAAACACAAUCCACAAGAGAUAUAAAACAGUCCAUAAAAUCAAAAUAUGUAAGAUACAUAACACAAUCGUACACGAGAAAUAAAAGAUGCAUGCAUGCAUAAUCUAAUUUGCACGCACAAGUCCCCAUCUCUUCCAUUUACGAACUUGCUUUUUUGCAAUUUGAAUUGUAGAAAGCUCUGCUAUUCAAAACUCUUUCUAUAGCCCCUACAAGAUAUUUUAACUAAUAAUCAAUAAUAAUUAGUCGCAAUGUAUUCAGCCUGUAAACUUUAACAAUUAUAGCAUAUUGGAAAAUCAUUGAUAGCUGAAAGAAUGCAAAUCAAUAAUUCACAAGUCAUAGCCUAUUCAACCCAUAAUGCACCCAUAACCACUAAAAAAGGGGAAUUAUAAACAAAACAGUGCAUUAAAUUUUUAUGCCUUAAAAAGGAUGUUAAAUUGGCAAGAAAAGUUACACAAAUUUUUCUCAUGUUCUACAUCUAAUUCAGUUACUUAAAUCGGUGCACAAUGCAAAAUCUCAAAAAUUUAAGUGCCUCAAAAAUUGGUGCACCAUGCCUCAUAAAACAAAUGUCUUAAUUAAUAGAGUUUAUAAUAACCUUUAGCAUGGGUUCAAUAGGUAGACACUUAGUUCAGCCAAUCAAACUGCAUAAAACCAUAAAAGAAUACCCAUAUGAACUCAAGAAAUUAAAAAUCCAUUAUUGUUUGCAAAUUGCAAGUAGAAAAGUCAUGCUUUAUACACGCCUUUAGUGAAUUGUACAUAUUCCUUUGGUAUGGUUAUAACAACUUCUCCAAUCAAAUUGGCAAUGGACGUGUAUAAUUGAUUGUAUAUAGAAAAAUCCAUAUAAAGUAAAACCUCAUUCCAAUCAUCCAUACAAAUUAAAGGGAAAAUGUUAAUCAAAACGUGUUCUAAAGAUAAAUUCUGUAGGCAUUAAUUUUGAAAUCUCAAAACACUUAUAAACCAUGAAUAAUUAAAGAGAAAUCUGUGUAGAUAGAGAGUGAAGCAAUCAGUCAACCAAGUUAAAAUGGAAAUAUAAAAACUGAGAUACAAGAAAGUCUUAUGCCUGAAUAAUAAAAUAACAAACAGAUUCUAAUUAUUUACUCCAACCACACCAAAAAUACUUGUCUCUAAACCAAAUACACCAAGAGAUUCUGCAGCCUUUAGGCGAACAAUGGGAUGCAAGGAAAGAUUAUCUACAACAGCUUUUAAUGUAGGGUUAGCAUCAGGUUUUUGCAUCCAACCCAACCUAUAUAAGGCCUCAUAUGCCAGCAGGGUUGAAUCAUCCCUCAUUGCUUUGAUGAGGGAGAUGAGGGCAUGGGAAUUUAAAUUUGAAUUUGAAGUCAGAUUUGGGGAUAUUCUGUUCAGGGGUGAUCAUUCAUAGAUAACCUUCAAUUAUGUCCUUAUCCUUCUGUAAUGAAAGUCUUCUAUAUUUGGUUAUUUUAAUUUGAGGUUUGCACAUAGCCAUUCUGUAACAUCACAGCUCACCUUAGUUCACUUGCUGUAAAAUUACUUCAGCAGUUAAACAUGGAUGGCACGAUUAAUCAUUAAUGGAUGAAUUUCAGAAUUUCAUUCACCAAAAACAUGAAUUCCAUGAUACGCUUCAAAGUUCGAGUCUUCAAGAAUCAAGAUAUAACAACAAAUAGACAAAGAACUCAAUUUGAAUCUCAUCCAAAAUAGGAAAACGAAUUAAUAACAGAACCAGCAUGCCAUCUCGUCGUCAACAGAUUUUGGGGAAAAUAAAUUAAUUACCAAUAAUUCCGAAAAUAGACCAGAGGAUGCGUGACUAAGGAAUCUGUUGUCGCCCGUUGUCAAUCGGAUGUUGGAGAAGUUGAUUUUGCAGAGAAGCAACCGCCAGCCGAGAGAGUUUGCAGUGUUAUGGUGGAGGAGAAUGUAUAUGAUGAAGAUGAAGAUGAAGAUGAAGAUGAAUACAUGAACUUGGGUUAAAAAAAAAUGGAUACAACUAAUUAUUGGCCAAUAUGCUAGGCCUAAGGGAAAGUCCAG